Molecule: long non-coding RNA, 1400 nt
Filed under: Homo sapiens (human)
Lineage: Eukaryota; Metazoa; Chordata; Mammalia; Primates; Hominidae
Description: HSALNT0317451
Source: RNAcentral
CUCCGUCCCGCCCGGGCUGCUCGCCCCGCCCCCGCGCGGCGCUGGGAGGCGGGAGCUGUCUCUGAGAACCUGCGGGAGAGCGCCCGGGCUUGCUGCUUCCCGGACCCGCGCGUCUCUCGAGCACCCUCGUCCCACCACCUUGUGAGGCCGUAGUGUUAUUUUUAUUUUUUAGAUCAGCAGACUGAGACUCGAGGUGACGUCACUCCGCAGAGAGGUUAGCUGACUUGAAGAAAACGGGUAUCUCCUCUUUCCAUUUCGCCCGUGUAAACAGCCGAACUGCCUAUUAUAAAAGCAUGGACUGCCAGCAUUGGAGUGGUCCUUAGAGGCCUAUUAUGAAAUCAUAGAAUGUCUGCAUUGGAAUCGCCUCACCUCCUUUUACCGCUGGAGAAGCCGACGGACAGACGGGCAGCGACCCCCGCCGUCGCACAACCCGUCUAGGCAGAGAGCGCAGGAGACGGGAGGGCGGCAGGGACACAUCUCCCAGCCAAGGACCUCCUGGGCCCGCAGAGGCCGCGACAGGUUCCCCCCACAGAGGGAACCAACUCUGCCGCAGGUUAGAGCACAGCAGACUGAGCCACCCAGAACUGGCCCCUCCGGUGGACCAGCCCCUGCGGAUUCACAGACCACUGGUCCUGGAAGGGACCUUGUCAAGCAGGCCCAUAAGGUAAUCCCUCCCCGGAAAGAGAAGAUCACAGAUUUUGUCAUAUUAAAUACAUUGUAGAAAUUCAUGGUAGCAGGGGCAAGAUCAUUUAAACAAAACAGAAAGUUUCAGAGAGAGAAAAAGCCAAGGACAAAGAUUAAUCAUUUUUCUGCUUAAAAAAAAUGGCUUUGAUUUGCAACCAUGGAAUGCUCCACUGUUUCUCUUCUCUUCAAAGACAUCUACUGAAAGGAUUCCUUAACCUUACCAAGUGGCCAAAAUACUUUUCUGAGAAGAGUCACAGAGCAUAGGCCCCCCUAGGGUACACAGAGAUUUCAUUAGUCCCUAGAUGUUUCCUGAUCCUUUUAAAAACUGGUUAAAUUCAGAGACUCUAGGCAAUUACUUCUUUCAGAACCUGUGAGGCAAAAACGAAAGAAGAAGGCAGGACACGCAGUGUAACAAACCUUGGAAUGGACUUCGCCAGACUUCAUCAGAAGAAAGCAGUGCAAGAGGGGACUGCAGAGGAAAGCUGGGGCUUGGGAAACCAGCAGCAGGGGCCACGUGGGCAGGUGGUUUCUGUGUGAACCUCUGAUCUGUGCAACAUAAACAGGAAAUGUUGAAGGCUUCCAGUGCUCUUUUUUGAUGUCGAGAACAUUCUACGGCACAAAAGAGUUUGCCUCUCACUGUUUCUCAUAUAUGGAGGUUUUCUAAUCAGCAUCCUGAACAGAAUUGAAUUAAAAAUAAAAACCAAAGUAAAACUAGC